Molecule: ribosomal RNA, 460 nt
Filed under: uncultured bacterium
Lineage: Bacteria
Description: partial 16S ribosomal RNA
Rfam family: Bacterial small subunit ribosomal RNA
Source: RNAcentral
CCUACGGGUGGCAGCAGUGAGGAAUAUUGGUCAAUGGGCGUAAGCCUGAACCAGCCAAGUCGCGUGAAGGAAGAAGGAUCUAUGGUUUGUAAACUUCUUUUAUAGGGGAAUAAAGUUAGCAACGUGUGGCUAUUUGUAUGUACCCUAUGAAUAAGCAUCGGCUAACUCCGUGCCAGCAGCCGCGGUAAUACGGAGGAUGCGAGCGUUAUCCGGAUUUAUUGGGUUUAAAGGGUGCGUAGGUUGUUUUUUAAGUCAGCGGUGAAAGUUUGUGGCUCAACCAUAAAAUUGCCGUUGAAACUGGACGACUUGAGUGUGUUUGAGGUAGGCGGAAUGCGUGGUGUAGCGGUGAAAUGCAUAGAUAUCACGCAGAACUCCGAUUGCGAAGGCAGCUUACUAAGCCAUAACUGACACUGAAGCACGAAAGCGUGGGGAUCAAACAGGAUUAGAUACCCUGGUAGUC